This 785-nucleotide ribosomal RNA is filed under the name uncultured bacterium. RNAcentral describes it as "bacterial SSU rRNA". It matches the Rfam family "Bacterial small subunit ribosomal RNA", at positions 681 to 1463 of the family's 1533-position model. The record is from RNAcentral.
GUGGAAUGCGUAGAUAUCAGGAAGAACACCGGUGGCGAAGGCGGUCUUCUGGCACAAUACUGACGCUGAGGAACGAAAGCGUGGGGAGCGAACAGGAUUAGAUACCCUGGUAGUCCACGCCGUAAACGAUGGACACUAGUUGUCGGAGAGCUUGACUUUUCGGUGACGUAGCUAACGUGCUAAGUGUCCCGCCUGGGGAGUACGUCCGCAAGGAUGAAACCCAAAGGAAUUGACGGGGGCCCGCACAAGCGGUGGAGCAUGUGCUUUAAUUCGAUGCAACGCGAAGAACCUUACCUGGUCUUGACAUAUUACUGCCCGUCCUAGAGAUAGGAUUUUUUUCUUCGGAAACAGUAAAUACAGGUGCUGCAUGGUUGUCGUCAGCUCGUGUCGUGAGAUGUUGGGUUAAGUCCCGCAACGAGCGCAACCCUUGUCCUUAGUUGCUAGCAGGUAAUGCUGAGAACUCUAAGGAGACUGCCCACGCAAGUGGGAGGAAGGUGAGGAUGACGUCAAAUCAUCAUGGCCCUUACGACCAGGGCUAGACACGUGCUACAAUGGCCGGUACAAUGGGUUGCUACCUAGCGAUAGGAUGCUAAUCUCAAAAAACCGGUCUCAGUUCGGAUAGGAGUCUGCAACUCGACUCCUUGAAGUUGGAAUCGCUAGUAAUCGUGGAUCAGCAUGCCACGGUGAAUACGUUCCCGGGCCUUGUACACACCGCCCGUCAAGCCACGGAAGUUGGUUGUACCCAAAAUCGUUUCAUUAACCUUCGGGAUGUGAGCGACUAAGGU